GGCUUUGUUGAUAGUUAAUUUCAUCCUUCAUAGGAACUUCUUCGCUAAGUAGAAUUUGCAUGUCACAUUCCACACAGCAUUACUGCUCAUCCUCAUCUGAUGCUUUGUCUGCAUCAGCUGGUUUUUCCGCACCACAGUUUUGUCGGUUACACUUCGUCCUGAAUGGGUAGUUUAUAUUGUUGCACUUCUCACACUUCCAGCUGCCCUCAGGCGUUUUUGGUUUACCACCAUUCGAAUUUUCAGAUUUAGUUGGCUGGGUUCCAGGCCUUGGAGUAUUGCACUUCCUCAUGUUACAGACAUUUCGAAAUGAGAAGUUGUUGUUGCCACAAUUCGGACAUUUCCAGUCAUUUUCACGACCUGCAGGCUUCUCUUGGGAUCUCUCCUGAGAAAAUGCUCCAGGCCUUGGGCCCAUAGCACCAAGUCCCAUAGGCAAACCCACACCAUAUCUGUCCAUGAGAGGAGGCAUACCAUAUACACCACCUGGUCCAAGCAUGG
Molecule: unclassified non-coding RNA, 495 nt
Filed under: Hevea brasiliensis (rubber tree)
Lineage: Eukaryota; Viridiplantae; Streptophyta; Magnoliopsida; Malpighiales; Euphorbiaceae
Source: RNAcentral